Molecule: long non-coding RNA, 746 nt
Organism: Cimex lectularius (bed bug)
Lineage: Eukaryota; Metazoa; Arthropoda; Insecta; Hemiptera; Cimicidae
Exons: 5
Source: RefSeq, a predicted model, not a curated record
CCAGCUGAUCUAAGAAAAAAAUUAUAAAAUGUUAUUUCGUACUCUUUUGUGCGAGCAGUAUACAGCAAGAAUAUUUUGGAAUUGACCAUGUAUAGGCCGAUUUUAUGACAGCCAUUUUAGGCCUAAGUCAAGCCCCCAAUACCGGAGUCUCGAGUUUGCUACCGUACGGCCCUUUCGUUGCCUACUUAUGCUACCUGGUACAGCUGAGAUUUUGAAGGUUGAAAUUGCUAUACCUGACAUUAUGGAAACUACAAUGCAAGUAGCUUUUGUAGUGGAAAGAAAUUAUCAGAGAAGAAAUAAAGCUUGAGAAAUGAUUAGACCCUCGAGACACUAGAUACAACAUAUACAACAUAGCCCAACCUCGAUGGCUGGAUGGAGAAGUCCGAGAUCCAGACUACCAACACCCGAGGACUCGAGAAGUGAUAGGCUCAACUGUAUGUGUGUAAAUAAGUACAUACAUGUGCGGAAUUGUGCUUAUAUAAGUCCAAAUAUCCAACUUACUGUGUCUUUCUAUGGAUAUUGUCUUCUCAUUCCAAAAAUCUACUGUACACUUAGGUCAUAUAUGUUGCGCUCUAACCCUGUAUCAUUUUCUUUCUUCGAAUUUCUUUCCUUUAAUGGUUGAAAUUGCUUUACCUGACAUUAUGGAAACUACAAUGCAAGUAGCUUUUGUAGUGGAAAGAAAUUAUCGGAGAAGAAAUGAAGCUUGAGAAAUGAUUAGACCCUCGAGACACUAGAUACAACAUUGA